Molecule: ribosomal RNA, 253 nt
Filed under: uncultured bacterium
Lineage: Bacteria
Description: partial 16S ribosomal RNA
Rfam family: Bacterial small subunit ribosomal RNA
Source: RNAcentral
UACGGGGGGGGCAAGCGUUGUUCGGAAUUACUGGGCGUAAAGGGCUCGUAGGCGGCCAACUAAGUCAGACGUGAAAUCCCUCGGCUUAACCGGGGAACUGCAUCUGAUACUGGAUGGCUUGAGUUCGGGAGAGGGAUGCGGAAUUCCAGGUGUAGCGGUGAAAUGCGUAGAUAUCAUUUGGAACGCCAAUGGUGAAAACAGCUCGCUGGGGGUUUGCUGACGCUGAGACACGAAAGCCAGGGGAGCAAACGGG